CAAUAGCGUAUAUUAAAGUUGUUGCGGUUAAAAAGCUCGUAGUUGGAUUUCUGCCGAGGACGACCGGUCCGCCCUCCGGGUGAGUAUCUGGCUCGGCCUGGGCAUCUUCUUGGAGAACGUAACUGCACUUGGCUGUGUGGUGCGGUAUUCAGGACUUUUACUUUGAGGAAAUUAGAGUGUUUCAAGCAGGCACACGCCUUGAAUACAUUAGCAUGGAAUAAUAAGAUAGGACCUCGGUUCUAUUUUGUUGGUUUCUAGAUCUGAGGUAAUGAUUAAUAGGGAUAGUUGGGGGCAUUCGUAUUUAACUGUCAGAGGUGAAAUUCUUGGAUUUGUUAAAGACGGACUACUGCGAANGNAUUUGCNAAGGAUGUUUNCAUUG
Molecule: ribosomal RNA, 379 nt
Filed under: uncultured eukaryote
Lineage: Eukaryota
Description: partial 18S ribosomal RNA
Rfam family: Eukaryotic small subunit ribosomal RNA
Source: RNAcentral